RNAcentral lists this long non-coding RNA (552 nucleotides) under Setaria italica (foxtail millet). Its description in RNAcentral is "long non-coding RNA (SITA_LNC003311)". The record is from RNAcentral. Lineage: Eukaryota; Viridiplantae; Streptophyta; Magnoliopsida; Poales; Poaceae.
AGCGGCCGGAUCGGCCUGCAGCGCCGCGCCUCGCCUCUCCCUUCGCUCGGCGCUCUGCGCCUUUAAACGCAAGCACCGGCAUCCUCCUCUCUUCCUCCCUCCCUUCGCCAUUUUCUCCACCGAGCCAAGCUGCUCCGCCGGCCAAAUCCACCCUUCUCUGGCCACCGCAGUCCAAUAGCGCGCGCCCGUAGCUGGACCAACAUCCCAGCUCCCUCCUCGACCUGUCACCGCCGCUCGCCAUCCAUCCCACCGCCGGGGAUUUCGAUUUCCCCGUCCGCCAUCUCCAAGUCACAAGUUCCUCCGCCUGCGAAAUCGGCUCUACUCCCGCCACCUCAUUCCAAUCCCCCACCUCCGAAGCUUCGGUACCUCCCCAACCUCGUCCUCAAGAGACACAAAGCACCGCCCGGGAUCCACCUCGUCAGAAAUCGGUCUCUCCCCGACCGCCUGUGCGCCACCGCCCGCCAUUGCCGCGCCUCCCGUGGACAGCCCGCCUCGGGCCACCUCCACGCCAACAACCCACAUGAAUGGAACACCGGUGAGCUCCUGAUGCUG